CCAUGUUGACCAGGAUGGUCUCAAUCUCUUGACCUCAUGAUCCACCCGCCUCGGCCUCCCAAAGUGCUGGGAUUACAGGCUUGAGCCACCGCGCCCGGCUUUUCAUUCGUUUCUUUAGGCAUGAAUCCCUGAGAUAUGUCCCAAUACUACAAGACAAUUUGAUGUUAUAAUAAAACACGACAGACAUAAUGCUGCAUGAAGAAGAGUAAAAAUGGGAAGACUUCGUUGUGUGGAAAGUGAGUUCUUGAAAAACGGAGAUACUUCAUGAGGGCAUGGAAAGCUAAGGUCUGUCCACAAUACGACAAGACUAUUUGACAUCAUAAUAAAACACUGCAGAUAUGAUGCUGAGUGAUGAAGAGUAGAAAUGGGAAGACGGUUGUGCAGAAACUGAGUUCUUGAAAAUAGGAGAUGCUUAAUGAAGGCACGAAUCCCUAAGUUCUGGCUGCAAUACUACAAGACUGCUUGAUGUCAUAAUAAAACACGAUAUAUAUGAUGCUGAUAAGAGUAGAAAUGGGAAGACUUGGUUGUGCAGAAACCAAGGAGGAGUUGCUUGAUGAGGGCAUGGAUCCCAAAGGUCUGUUCCCAAUACUACAAGUCUAUUUAGUAUCAUAAUAAAGCACUGCAGGUAGGAUGCUGAAAGAAGAAGAGUAGAAACGGGUAGACUUCGUUGUGCAGAAACUGAGUUCUUAAACAGAGAAGAUGCUUGAUGAGGGUGAGUGGAUCACAUCUCAGUUCAAUAUCCAAAGGAAUCCAAAAGCAAAUGUUUAAGAGUGGAAAUUGUUUGCACAUAUUGAGCAAAAUAUUAUGUAGCUGUAGUUUCUGAUGUCUUUGUCUCUUCACAGCCUUUUGUUUUGAAACAUAUGGUAACGUAUCGGUAAAAAUUCAAACAAAAAGUUGAUAGUGCUACUUUUCUAAAGUAAUAUUCCUGAGGCCCUGUUUUAAGAUUUACCUUUAUUCAUACUGAAGGAUGAAAUGUUGACAUAUAAGACUUAGUACUGGUAACAUUCAAAUGAAUUCGUGCUCCUCAAAGGUUUAUUAAAAUGCACACUUGAUCUGAUCCAAACCACAGUGUACACAGUAAUCCACUUUUAAUACAGAUUUAUUUUUUCAUAAAAUUAACAAUGUAUAUACAUAUCUAAAGAGAUUCCUUGAAAUAAUCCAAAAAUUCAUGAGCUUCCUUGACUAGUUGUAUGAUAGCAGUUUUCUUUGUUAUUAAUACGUGGACUAAUCUUAAUAUUUGUCAAGCAUUAUUAUUUAAUUUACAAGUUAAUCCUUAUACCUAAAAGACAAAUUGUAAAACUCUGAGACACACAAACACAAACACACACAGCCCAUAAAUUCUCAGGUAAUUCUUGAAGAAUAUGUAAUGACCUGGGAACAUGCUGUGUUUUAAUGUUGAAUGUUGAGACCAUGAGACGAAACUCUGAGUCACCUUGACAGGAAUUGAACUAUGAGUAUCAUGCCAUGUGGAGUAUGUAUGACACGCAGUAAUGAGCGUCACCUGGUUUCUCCUCUAAUGGCUCAUGCCAAAUUGUUG
Molecule: long non-coding RNA, 1537 nt
Filed under: Cebus imitator (Panamanian white-faced capuchin)
Lineage: Eukaryota; Metazoa; Chordata; Mammalia; Primates; Cebidae
Description: lncRNA (ENSCCAG00000038188.1)
Source: RNAcentral